AUACGUAGGAGCGAGCGUUGUCCGGAUUUACUGGGUGUAAAGGGUGCGUAGGCGGCUCUGCAAGUCAGGCGUGAAAUACAUGGGCUUAACCCAUGGACUGCGUUUGAAACUGUGGAGCUUGAGUGAAGUAGAGGUAGGCGGAAUUCCCGGUGUAGCGGUGAAAUGCGUAGAGAUCGGGAGGAACACCAGUGGCGAAGGCGGCCUACUGGGCUUUAGCUGACGCUGAAGCACGAAAGCAUGGGUAGCAAACAGGAUUAGAUACCCUGGUAGUCCAUGCCGUAAACGAUGAUUACUAGGUGUGGGGGGUCUGACCCCUUCCGUGCCGGAGUUAACACAAUAAGUAAUCCACCUGGGGAGUACGGCCGCAAGGUUGA
RNAcentral lists this ribosomal RNA (374 nucleotides) under uncultured bacterium. RNAcentral's name for it is "bacterial SSU rRNA". It matches the Rfam family "Bacterial small subunit ribosomal RNA", at positions 523 to 897 of the family's 1533-position model. The record is from RNAcentral.